Molecule: ribosomal RNA, 493 nt
Filed under: uncultured bacterium
Lineage: Bacteria
Description: bacterial SSU rRNA
Rfam family: Bacterial small subunit ribosomal RNA
Source: RNAcentral
AUUGAACGCUGGCGGCAUGCCUUACACAUGCAAGUCGAACGGUAACAGGUCUUCGGAUGCUGACGAGUGGCGAACGGGUGAGUAAUACAUCGGAACGUGCCCGAUCGUGGGGGAUAACGGAGCGAAAGCUUUGCUAAUACCGCAUACGAUCUACGGAUGAAAGCAGGGGACCGCAAGGCCUUGCGCGGACGGAGCGGCCGAUGGCAGAUUAGCUAGUUGGUGGGUAAGAGCCUACCAAGGCGACGAUCAGUAGCGGGUCUGAGAGGAUGAUCCGCCACACUGGGACUGAGACACGGCCCAGACUCCUACGGGAGGCAGCAGUGGGGAAUUUUGGACAAUGGGCGAAAGCCUGAUCCAGCCAUGCCGCGUGUAUGAAGAAGGCCUUCGGGUUGUAAGUACUUUUGUUAGGGAAGAAAGACUUGUUGCUAAUAUCAGCAAGCCAUGACGGUACCUAAAGAAUAAGCACCGGCUAACUACGUGCCAGCAGCCGUAC